UAUUAUUAUUAUUAUUAUUAAGUUUACCAUUUCUCCAGUUUGAGUUUGUUUAGUAUUCCUAAUUUGUUAUUAAUCAGACUAGUUAAUAAAUUAUAUGCCCAUGUAUGUCUGUCUUCUAGGUAUUUUAUUAGAGGGAGUUUAUUCUGAUCUUAUUAUUGAGAAUUAAUAAAAUUAGAGAAUUUAAGUUAGUUACUAAUAAGACUAGUUGAUAAAUUAUAAAUAUACCUGUCUAGAUAUUUUAUUAGGGAGAAUUUAUUAUGAUAUUAUUGUUGACAAUUAAUAAAUUUUAAGAAUUAUCUUUUCUUUUCUUUAGUUGAGAAUUUGUUUCUCUAGCGAAUAUGUUUCUCUACCAAUUGAGAAUUUGUUUCUCACCCCAUUAUUCCCUUUGUUCCCCCUGUUAUACAUCAAUUUGGUAUCAGAGCUUGUCUCUCUUGCUUAGAGUGUUACAACCUUAGAGUGAUCCAUAAUGGCUGGUUCAUCUAGCAAUACUGCCGGUAUACCCGCACCACUAGCUGAAGGCUACUCAAUCACUAGACCACCACUCUUCAAUGGCACUAAUUAUUCAUUUUGGAAAGUAAGAAUGAGAAAUUUCAUAAAAUCUGUAGAUAUUAAUGCAUGAAAAAUUAUUAAAAAUGGUCCACAUGUUCCUCAAAAGAAUAGUCCAGGAACUACAAAAGUUCCAAAACAUGAAGAUGAAUAUGAUGACAAUGAUUGGAAGAAAAUCUCUAUAAAUGCUAAAGCUAUUAAUAUUUUGCAUUGCUCACUUGACCUUAAUGAAUACAAUCGUGUUUCAGGAUGUCAAUCUGCUAAGGAAAUUUGGGAUAAGCUUGAAGUGACUUAUGAAGGAACUGAUGUUGUUAAAGAGUCCAAAGCAAACCUUCUGAUUCGAGAUUAUGAGUUGUUUGAUAUGAGGCCAGGAGAAUCAAUUGCAGAUAUGAGUACAAGGUUUACCGAUCUUGUAAAUCUUCUCAAAGCACUUGGUAAAAGAUUUGAGGAAGCUGAACUUGUGAAGAAAAUUCUUAGAUCACUUCCAAAGUCUUGGGAAGCAAAGACAACAGUUAUCCAAGAUACCAAAGAUUUCAAAACAUUCACCUAUGAUGAACUCAUUGGUUCUCUCAUUGCACAUGAGAUGGUAUAUAAGAAAGAUGAAGUUGAAAAUGAGCAAAAGAAGAAGAAAAGCAUUGCUCUCAAGUCAAACAAGGAUGAAGAUAAGAAGAAAGGUGUUGCAUUUAAAGUUGACUCAAGUGACAACUCAAGUGCUUCAAGUGAUGAUGAUGAUGAAAUGGCUAUGCUUGCAAGAAAAUUCAAAAGAGCUUUCAAGAAGGGAGGAAGCAAAUACAAGAAAUUCUUGAAGAAGUAUACUCCCAAGGAUAAACAUUUCAAAGAUUCAAAAGAAGAAAUUGUAUGUUAUGAGUGUCACAAACCUGGACAUAUCAAGCCCAAAUGUCCAUUGCUCAAAAAGAAGAAAGGAAAAGAAGAUAGGAGCAAGAAAGCUAUGAAAGUAGUAUGGAGCAACAGUGAAGAAUCUUCAAAUGAUGAAUCAAGUGACAAAGAGGCUGCUCUUCUUUGUUUGAUGGCAUGUGAGGAGAAAGUUGAGAGCUCACAAAAAGAUGAAGAAAGCGACAAUGAGGUAAAUUCUUAUGAAUCUCCUAAUGUAGAAGAACUUGAACUUGCUUUUGUUAGAGUAUAUGAUGAGUAUAGAAAUUACAAGAGAAAGUGCACUAAAAUGAAUUUAGAAAUUGAAUCAUUGAGAUCACAAAAUAUUGCCAUGUCCAAUGUGUAUAAAGAAAAUGAAUUUUACAAAGGACAAAUUGCUUUGUUUAAAGAAUUAGACUUAGAGUUGAAAAUAUCAAAAGAAACAUGUGAGAUGCUCAUUGAGAAAAAUAAAGUUCUUGAAGCUAAAGUAGAGUCUUUGACAAAUGAUUUGGCAAAAUUUACAAAAGGAAAAGAAACUCUAGAUGUACUUCUUGGAAACCAAAGAAUUUCGCAUGAAAAAUAUGGAAUUGGUUUUGAUGGUUUCAUGAACUAUGACAAAUAUAAGAAUCAUUUCAUUAAAGCAUCUACAUCCUCCUUGCCUAAUGUUACAUGUUAUUAUUGCAAUAAAAGAGGUCAUAUGAUUAGCUCUUGUGCAUUUAGGAAAGGUCAUCUUAAGACAAAGAAGGUAUGGGUACCAAAGGGAACCUUACCUAAGGUCACUAACCCCCAAGGACCCAAAGUUGCUUGGGUACCUAAAGCUAAAUGAUUAAAUUUCAGGUUUGUUGCAAAGGAAUGAAGGAAAGUGAUAAAUGGUAUAUAGAUAGUGGUUGUUCAAAGCACAUGACUGGUGAAAAGGACAAGUUUUCAAAAAUCACAAUGAAAGAUGGAGGAUAUGUAAAAUUUGGAGAUAAAGGAAAAGGAAAAAUAAUUGGAAAUGGCACAAUUGGAACCAAACCUUGUAUUGAAGAUGUGUCGCUCGUUGAAGGACUGAAAUACAACUUGCUAAGUGUAAGCCAACUUUGUGAUAAAGGUUUUGAGGUAAAGUUUACUUCUUCUCUAUGUACAAUCAAUAACUUAGAUAAUGAUACAUUGUUCAUUGCCAAUAGAUCCAAUAAUGUUUACUUGCUUGACAUGAAUAAUUUUGAAACUAAUCAUGGUACAUGUCUAGUAUCUCUUGAUAACUCUAGUUAUUUGUGGCAUAGAAGACUAGGUCAUGCAAGCAUGCAUACACUCUCAAAAUUGUCUAAGAAAGAACUUGUUAAUGGUCUUCCUAAGAUUAAAUAUGAAAAUGAAUUUCAAUGUAGAGCAUGUGCACUAGGAAAGCAUACUAGAGCAUCUUUUAAAUCUAAGAAUAUUGUGUCUACCACUAGGCCAUUAGAAUUGCUUCAUCUUGAUUUGUUUGGACCUGUAACUCCUACUAGUCUAGGUGGAAAGUCAUAUACUUUAGUUAUUGUUGAUGACUAUUCAAGAUAUACAUGGACAUUUUUCCUUGCUCACAAAGAUGAAACUUUUGAAAAAUUCACCUCUUUUAGUAAAAUGGUUCAAAAUGAAAAAGGUUUUUGCAUCACAUCUAUAAGAAGUGAUCAUGGAACUGAAUUUGAAAUUCAUUUAUUUGAGAAAUAUUGUGAUAAACAUGGAAUUAACCAUAAUUUUUCAGCUCCUAGAACACCACAACAAAAUGGGGUAGUAGAAAGGAAAAAUAGGACUUUGCAAGAAAUGACUAGAACUAUGUUGAGUGAAAAUAAUUUGCCAAAGUACUUUUGGGCUGAAGCUGUUAAUACAUCUUGUUAUGUGUUGAAUAGAGUUUUGAUUAGACCAAUUUUGAAAAAGACCCCCUAUGAGCUUUGGAAAGGAAGAAAACCAAAUAUCUCAUAUUUCAAAGCAUUUGGUUGUAAGUGCUAUAUUUUAAAUAACAAGAAGGAUAACUUGAAAAAAUUUGAUGCCAAAUCCGAUGAAGGAAUCUUUCUUGGGUAUUCAACAAAGAGUAAAGCCUAUAGAGUGUUCAAUAGAAGAACUUUGGUUAUUGAGGAAACUAUUCAUGUUUUGUUUGAUGAGACUAACCCUUCUAUUAGAAGGAAAAAUGUUUUUUAUGAUAAUGAGCAGGUGUUUGAAAAAGAAAAUGUAAUAUCAAGUCAAGAAAUGGAACAAAUUGAUGACAAAGAUGAAGAAACUCAAGGAGAUACCACAAUAGACGUCCAUAAUGCCAACAAUGAUCAAAUCAAUGAAGAAAUACCAAAUUUAGAAGAAUUACAAGUGAAUGAGCCCCAACAUGAAAAUUUACCUAAAGAAUGGAGAUUUCGUAGAAAUCACUCCCAAGAAGACAUCAUUGAUGAUCCAUUUCAAAGGAUGAUGACUAGAGCACAAUUGAGAAAAUAUUUUGAUAAUGUUGCAUUUGUUUCACAAAUUGAACCUAAA
Molecule: unclassified non-coding RNA, 3891 nt
Filed under: Hevea brasiliensis (rubber tree)
Lineage: Eukaryota; Viridiplantae; Streptophyta; Magnoliopsida; Malpighiales; Euphorbiaceae
Source: RNAcentral